GGGUUGUGAGGUUAAGCGACUAAGCGUACACGGUGGAUGCCCUGGCAGUCAGAGGCGAUGAAGGACGUGCUAAUCUGCGAUAAGCGUCGGUAAGGUGAUAUGAACCGUUAUAACCGGCGAUUUCCGAAUGGGGAAACCCAGUGUGAUUCGUCACACUAUCAUUAACUGAAUCCAUAGGUUAAUGAGGCGAACCGGGGGAACUGAAACAUCUAAGUACCCCGAGGAAAAGAAAUCAACCGAGAUUCCCCCAGUAGCGGCGAGCGAACGGGGAGCAGCCCAGAGCCUGAAUCAGUGUGUGUGUUAGUGGAAGCGUCUGGAAAGGCGUGCGAUACAGGGUGACAGCCCCGUACACAAAAAUGCACAUAUUGUGAGCUCGAUGAGUAGGGCGGGACACGUGGUAUCCUGUCUGAAUAUGGGGGGACCAUCCUCCAAGGCUAAAUACUCCUGACUGACCGAUAGUGAACCAGUACCGUGAGGGAAAGGCGAAAAGAACCCCGGCGAGGGGAGUGAAAAAGAACCUGAAACCGUGUACGUACAAGCAGUGGGAGCACGCUUAGGCGUGUGACUGCGUACCUUUUGUAUAAUGGGUCAGCGACUUAUAUUCUGUAGCAAGGUUAACCGAAUAGGGGAGCCGAAGGGAAACCGAGUCUUAACUGGGCGUUAAGUUGCAGGGUAUAGACCCGAAACCCGGUGAUCUAGCCAUGGGCAGGUUGAAGGUUGGGUAACACUAACUGGAGGACCGAACCGACUAAUGUUGAAAAAUUAGCGGAUGACUUGUGGCUGGGGGUGAAAGGCCAAUCAAACCGGGAGAUAGCUGGUUCUCCCCGAAAGCUAUUUAGGUAGCGCCUCGUGAAUUCAUCUCCGGGGGUAGAGCACUGUUUCGGCAAGGGGGUCAUCCCGACUUACCAACCCGAUGCAAACUGCGAAUACCGGAGAAUGUUAUCACGGGAGACACACGGCGGGUGCUAACGUCCGUCGUGAAGAGGGAAACAACCCAGACCGCCAGCUAAGGUCCCAAAGUCAUGGUUAAGUGGGAAACGAUGUGGGAAGGCCCAGACAGCCAGGAUGUUGGCUUAGAAGCAGCCAUCAUUUAAAGAAAGCGUAAUAGCUCACUGGUCGAGUCGGCCUGCGCGGAAGAUGUAACGGGGCUAAACCAUGCACCGAAGCUGCGGCAGCGACACUAUGUGUUGUUGGGUAGGGGAGCGUUCUGUAAGCCUGCGAAGGUGUGCUGUGAGGCAUGCUGGAGGUAUCAGAAGUGCGAAUGCUGACAUAAGUAACGAUAAAGCGGGUGAAAAGCCCGCUCGCCGGAAGACCAAGGGUUCCUGUCCAACGUUAAUCGGGGCAGGGUGAGUCGACCCCUAAGGCGAGGCCGAAAGGCGUAGUCGAUGGGAAACAGGUUAAUAUUCCUGUACUUGGUGUUACUGCGAAGGGGGGACGGAGAAGGCUAUGUUGGCCGGGCGACGGUUGUCCCGGUUUAAGCGUGUAGGCUGGUUUUCCAGGCAAAUCCGGAAAAUCAAGGCUGAGGCGUGAUGACGAGGCACUACGGUGCUGAAGCAACAAAUGCCCUGCUUCCAGGAAAAGCCUCUAAGCAUCAGGUAACAUCAAAUCGUACCCCAAACCGACACAGGUGGUCAGGUAGAGAAUACCAAGGCGCUUGAGAGAACUCGGGUGAAGGAACUAGGCAAAAUGGUGCCGUAACUUCGGGAGAAGGCACGCUGAUAUGUAGGUGAAGCGACUUGCUCGUGGAGCUGAAAUCAGUCGAAGAUACCAGCUGGCUGCAACUGUUUAUUAAAAACACAGCACUGUGCAAACACGAAAGUGGACGUAUACGGUGUGACGCCUGCCCGGUGCCGGAAGGUUAAUUGAUGGGGUCAGCGCAAGCGAAGCUCUUGAUCGAAGCCCCGGUAAACGGCGGCCGUAACUAUAACGGUCCUAAGGUAGCGAAAUUCCUUGUCGGGUAAGUUCCGACCUGCACGAAUGGCGUAAUGAUGGCCAGGCUGUCUCCACCCGAGACUCAGUGAAAUUGAACUCGCUGUGAAGAUGCAGUGUACCCGCGGCAAGACGGAAAGACCCCGUGAACCUUUACUAUAGCUUGACACUGAACAUUGAGCCUUGAUGUGUAGGAUAGGUGGGAGGCUUUGAAGUGUGGACGCCAGUCUGCAUGGAGCCGACCUUGAAAUACCACCCUUUAAUGUUUGAUGUUCUAACGUGGACCCGUAAUCCGGGUUGCGGACAGUGUCUGGUGGGUAGUUUGACUGGGGCGGUCUCCUCCUAAAGAGUAACGGAGGAGCACGAAGGUUGGCUAAUCCUGGUCGGACAUCAGGAGGUUAGUGCAAUGGCAUAAGCCAGCUUGACUGCGAGCGUGACGGCGCGAGCAGGUGCGAAAGCAGGUCAUAGUGAUCCGGUGGUUCUGAAUGGAAGGGCCAUCGCUCAACGGAUAAAAGGUACUCCGGGGAUAACAGGCUGAUACCGCCCAAGAGUUCAUAUCGACGGCGGUGUUUGGCACCUCGAUGUCGGCUCAUCACAUCCUGGGGCUGAAGUAGGUCCCAAGGGUAUGGCUGUUCGCCAUUUAAAGUGGUACGCGAGCUGGGUUUAGAACGUCGUGAGACAGUUCGGUCCCUAUCUGCCGUGGGCGCUGGAGAAUUGAGGGGGGCUGCUCCUAGUACGAGAGGACCGGAGUGGACGCAUCACUGGUGUUCGGGUUGUCAUGCCAAUGGCACUGCCCGGUAGCUAAAUGCGGAAGAGAUAAGUGCUGAAAGCAUCUAAGCACGAAACUUGCCCCGAGAUGAGUUCUCCCUGACUCCUUGAGAGUCCUGAAGGAACGUUGAAGACGACGACGUUGAUAGGCCGGGUGUGUAAGCGCAGCGAUGCGUUGAGCUAACCGGUACUAAUGAACCGUGAGGCUUAACCUUACAACGCCGAAG
This 2924-nucleotide ribosomal RNA is filed under the name Escherichia coli. RNAcentral's name for it is "23S ribosomal RNA". It matches the Rfam family "Bacterial large subunit ribosomal RNA". Lineage: Bacteria; Pseudomonadati; Pseudomonadota; Gammaproteobacteria; Enterobacterales; Enterobacteriaceae. The record is from RNAcentral.